This 351-nucleotide transfer-messenger RNA is filed under the name Trichlorobacter thiogenes. RNAcentral describes it as "Standard tmRNA". It matches the Rfam family "transfer-messenger RNA". From Rfam's summary of the family: Bacterial tmRNA, also known as 10Sa RNA or SsrA, is named for its dual tRNA and mRNA-like properties. Its role is to liberate the mRNA from a stalled ribosome. The record is from RNAcentral. Lineage: Bacteria; Pseudomonadati; Thermodesulfobacteriota; Desulfuromonadia; Geobacterales; Geobacteraceae.
GGGGGUGUAAAGGUUUCGACGGGGGAAUGAACUCCUGGGUUGCACCGGGUCGGGGCAGGUGGCCGACCUUAAUAAACCUGCAUGGCAUUAAUUGCCGACAAUUAUAACACUCCUGUUGCACUAGCUGCUUAACAGGCGGUCCCGACUGAGAUGUCGGUGGUAGGAAGGGACCGUCAUUCACUACCGAAUUGGAUUGCGUAAGCCCGAUACGCCGUCUGAAAUCCAGGGACCGCUGACCUGCUGUCUUGUCUGCUGUACAGCAUGUCGGCUAAAUUGAUCAACAGACUAACGGUGUAGUAGCUCAUGAUGUAGGUCUUUCGGACGUGGGUUCGACUCCCACCACCUCCACCA